CCUUGGGUGGAUUAGUGGCGACGGGUGAGUAACACGUGGGCAAUCUGCCCUUCACUCUGGGACAAGCCCUGGAAACGGGGUCUAAUACCGGAUAACACUUUCCCUCUCAUGGGGGAAGGUUAAAAGCUCCGGCGGUGAAGGAUGAGCCCGCGGCCUAUCAGCUAGUUGGUGGGGUAAUGGCCUACCAAGGCGACGACGGGUAGCCGGCCUGAGAGGGCGACCGGCCACACUGGGACUGAGACACGGCCCAGACUCCUACGGGAGGCAGCAGUGGGGAAUAUUGCACAAUGGGCGAAAGCCUGAUGCAGCGACGCCGCGUGAGGGAUGACGGCCUUCGGGUUGUAAACCUCUUUCAGCAGGGAAGAAGCGAAAGUGACGGUACCUGCAGAAGAAGCGCCGGCUAACUACGUGCCAGCAGCCGCGGUAAUACGUAGGGCGCAAGCGUUGUCCGGAAUUAUUGGGCGUAAAGAGCUCGUAGGCGGCUUGUUGCGUCGGUUGUGAAAGCCCGGGGCUUAACCCCGGGUCUGCAGUCGAUACGGGCAGGCUAGAGUGUGGUAGGGGAGAUCGGAAUUCCUGGUGUAGCGGUGAAAUGCGCAGAUAUCAGGAGGAACACCGGUGGCGAAGGCGGAUCUCUGGGCCAUUACUGACGCUGAGGAGCGAAAGCGUGGGGAGCGAACAGGAUUAGAUACCCUGGUAGUCCACGCCGUAAACGUUGGGAACUAGGUGUUGGCGACAUUCCACGUCGUCGGUGCCGCAGCUAACGCAUUAAGUUCCCCGCCUGGGGGAGUACGGCCGCAAGGCUAAAACUCAAAGGAAUUUGACGGGGGC
Molecule: ribosomal RNA, 828 nt
Filed under: Streptomyces sp.
Lineage: Bacteria; Bacillati; Actinomycetota; Actinomycetes; Kitasatosporales; Streptomycetaceae
Description: bacterial SSU rRNA
Rfam family: Bacterial small subunit ribosomal RNA
Source: RNAcentral